AUUUUUUAGACAUAGGGAACCAUAAGCAUGUCCAGAGACAUGCCAGAGGACGAACAUGUGAGCUGACUGUGAUAGUCGAUGGAGAAAUGAUUCCAACCAUCCAGUACCCCAAAAUACUUGGCGUCACAUUUGACAUCUACUACACAUUCUCCAUACAUGCCACAGCAAUUUGCGAUAAAGCCAAUAGUACAAACAAGGUCCUCAAGUCAUUUGCCGGCAGCACUUGGAGUGCAGACAAAGAAACCUUGUUGACCACGUACAAAGCAAUUGGCCGAUCUGUGAUCUGUCAAAAUGCCGCCAUCCGAACUGCGUCGGGCUGUCUCCUAAGUUAUCAUGUGGACCACCUCCAUCAGCAGACAAAGAUCCUACCAGUGCGAAGACAUAAAUACAUGUUGUCUAAGCAAUACCUUUUGGGUAUUGUCUAAGCAAUACCUUUUGGGUAUCAUCCAAAUCAUCAUCUUGUGGAUAGAUAUCCAUCGCCCAGAAGCCUUGAGGUAGAUCUACCUGAUCUAGAGCGUGAGGUUCAGCGCUACAAGAGAGAACCUCUAGAUCAAGUGGCAUAUGAAGCGGGUCUAGACAACAUUCAUGCUGACACGGUAGCAGAUGCGGUCAAGUCCUUGGAGUAAGACCGCCUCCCAUUGUACCUGAAGAAAUUGACCUCCCCCGGAAAACCAGAGUAGUUCUGGCUCAAUUACGUUCCGGCAGAUGCAGCCGCCUCAACUCAUACAAAUUUUGCAAAUUUUGCUCAUGAACAUUCCACUAAGGAACAGGGGCAAACUUCUCACAUAUCAAUGAGUGCAGUCCGAUUCAAGUUUUAAGCUCAAUGAUAAGGGGCCUCCUUUUUAUAGCCGAGUCCGAACGGCGUGCCGCAGUGCGACACCUCUAUCGAGAGAAGUUUUACAUGGCAUAGUACCUCACAAAUGUUGCCAGCAUUAGGAGGGGAAAACUACCCUUGAAAAGUUUUUCUGAUGGUCUCGCCAGGAUUCGAACCCAGGCGUUUAGCGUCAUAGGCGGACAUGCUAACCUCUGCGCUACGGUGGCCUCCAACUUAUACAGAGCAAGGAUUGAUGCCGACGUGCAAGAUGUAUAUCCCGAUUGUGACCAGGGACCAAACUAUACACUUCACCUGUUUGCCGCCCAGCCAGACCCACUCGACUCAGACCCAGAUCCCUCUGGACGCACCCCAUCUUAGUCGCAGAGUUCCUGGAUCUUGACACUCAACAUCAAGGAUCAAUUAAACGACAGAUAGAACACAACAAACUGCUACAACAACAAAAACAG
Molecule: long non-coding RNA, 1281 nt
Organism: Stomoxys calcitrans (stable fly)
Lineage: Eukaryota; Metazoa; Arthropoda; Insecta; Diptera; Muscidae
Exons: 2
Source: RefSeq, a predicted model, not a curated record